Mytilus trossulus (common blue mussel) is the source of this 904-nucleotide long non-coding RNA. RefSeq lists it as uncharacterized. The transcript has 3 exons. The record is from RefSeq and is a predicted model, not a curated record. Lineage: Eukaryota; Metazoa; Mollusca; Bivalvia; Mytilida; Mytilidae.
AACUCCAAAAUAAUGUGAUAAAUGGAGAAGACGCUGGUGGCAAUGUUACUAUUAAUUUCCCCGAAUUCCUUUCAAUGAUGGCAUGGAAAAUGAGCGAAACAAUUCCAAGAAUGAUUUAAAAGAAACACGUUCAAAGAAUGGUUUGUAUUAUGAUGUCUUAGUAGAACAUUGCUACAAGAAUCGUUAACUUCUUCCCUGAAAUGUUUCACCCUACAUACAUGUACAUGUUACCAAAGACAUAUAUUAAAAUGUUAUCAUAUGCAAAUACAUCUUCUGAAGUGUAAUAUACGGUAAAUAUUUGGGAUCUACACAACAAGAAGUUUUACUUUUGUUUCAAAACUACUUAUAGUACGAUUUGACAACAUGAUCGUAAGACUAGUUUAUAUUCUUUAAAUAUGAUUAAAAUUGCACUGGUUUUUUUUAAAAUAGUCAAAAGUAAAAUCACAAAAAUACUGAACUCCGAGGAAAAUUCACAACAGAAAGUUCCUAAUUAAAUGGCAAAAUCAAAUGAUAAUAUACAACGAACGGCCAACAACUGUCAUAUUCCUGAUUUGGUACAGGCAUUUUCAAAUGUAGAAAAUGGUGGAUUGAACAAGGUUUUAUAGCGCUAAACCCCUCACUUGUAUGACAGUCGCAUCAAAUACAAUAUUAAAUUAACAACGAUGAGUGUACAAAACAGACAUAAUAGGUAAAUAGUCAAAAAAGGGUACAACAGGCAUCACUGUGUCACAAUCACAGGACUUUCGCUAUAUAAUUGAAUCGUAAUUUGUUUUUGAUUUUAUAAAAGUGGACACAUUUGCAUGAAGCGAGAACGUGAUUCUUGUUAAAUAUGAGUUUUAAAGGCAUAACCGUUAAUAACAAUAAAUGUCACUUUUCUUGACUGCUGUUACCCUUUUUUUGACAU